AGAGUUUGAUCAUGGCUCAGGACGAACGCUGGCGGCGUGCUUAACACAUGCAAGUCGAACGGUAAGGCCCCUUUCGGGGGUACACGAGUGGCGAACGGGUGAGUAACACGUGGGUAAUCUGCCCUGCACUUCGGGAUAAGCCUGGGAAACUGGGUCUAAUACCGGAUAUGACUCCUGGCCGCAUGGUCUGGGAGUGGAAAGUUUUUCGGUGCAGGAUGAGCCCGCGGCCUAUCAGCUUGUUGGUGGGGUAAUGGCCUACCAAGGCGACGACGGGUAGCCGGCCUGAGAGGGUGAUCGGCCACACUGGGACUGAGACACGGCCCAGACUCCUACGGGAGGCAGCAGUGGGGAAUAUUGCACAAUGGGCGGAAGCCUGAUGCAGCGACGCCGCGUGGGGGAUGACGGUCUUCGGAUUGUAAACCCCUUUCAGUAGGGACGAAGCGCAAGUGACGGUACCUGCAGAAGAAGCACCGGCUAACUACGUGCCAGCAGCCGCGGUAAUACGUAGGGUGCGAGCGUUGUCCGGAAUUACUGGGCGUAAAGAGCCCGUAGGCGGUUUGUCACGUCGUCUGUGAAAUCCCUCGGCUUAACCGGGGGCGUGCAGGCGAUACGGGCAGACUUGAGUACUACAGGGGAGACUGGAAUUCCUGGUGUAGCGGUGAAAUGCGCAGAUAUCAGGAGGAACACCGGUGGCGAAGGCGGGUCUCUGGGUAGUAACUGACGCUGAGGAGCGAAAGCAUGGGUAGCGAACAGGAUUAGAUACCCUGGUAGUCCAUGCCGUAAACGGUGGGCGCUAGGUGUGGGGUCCCUCCACGGACUCCGUGCCGUAGCUAACGCAUUAAGCGCCCCGCCUGGGGAGUACGGCCGCAAGGCUAAAACUCAAAGGAAUUGACGG
RNAcentral lists this ribosomal RNA (895 nucleotides) under uncultured bacterium. RNAcentral describes it as "bacterial SSU rRNA". It matches the Rfam family "Bacterial small subunit ribosomal RNA", at positions 8 to 916 of the family's 1533-position model. The record is from RNAcentral.